This 460-nucleotide ribosomal RNA is filed under the name uncultured bacterium. Its description in RNAcentral is "partial 16S ribosomal RNA". It matches the Rfam family "Bacterial small subunit ribosomal RNA", at positions 338 to 795 of the family's 1533-position model. The record is from RNAcentral.
CCUACGGGUGGCAGCAGUGAGGAAUAUUGGUCAAUGGGCUUACGCCUGAACCAGCCAAGUCGCGUGAGGGAAGACUGCCCUAUGGGUUGUAAACCUCUUUUGUCAGGGAGCAAUUGGCGCUACGUGUAGCGUUAUCGAGAGUACCUGAAGAAAAAGCAUCGGCUAACUCCGUGCCAGCAGCCGCGGUAAUACGGAGGAUGCGAGCGUUAUCCGGAUUUAUUGGGUUUAAAGGGUGCGUAGGCGGAAUGCCAAGUCAGCGGUAAAAUCGCGGGGCUCAACCUCGCUCCGCCGUUGAAACUGGCGUUCUUGAGUGGGCGAGAAGUAUGCGGAAUGCGUGGUGUAGCGGUAAAAUGCGUAAAUAUAUGUAAGAACACCAGUGGCGAAGGCGGCUUGCUGGGUCGAUACUGACAUUGAGGCACUAAAGCGUGGGGAGCAAACAGGAUUAGAUACCCCUGUAGUC